Molecule: ribosomal RNA, 467 nt
Filed under: uncultured bacterium
Lineage: Bacteria
Description: partial 16S ribosomal RNA
Rfam family: Bacterial small subunit ribosomal RNA
Source: RNAcentral
GACGAACGCUGGCGGCGUGCUUAACACAUGCAAGUCGAACGGAAAGGCUCCAGCUUGCUGGAGUACUCGAGUGGCGAACGGGUGAGCAACACGUGGGUAAUCUGCCCUGCACUCUGGGAUAAGCCUGGGAAACUGGGUCUAAUACUGGAUAUGACCUUUCUCCUUAUGGGGUUUGGUGGAAAGUUUUUCGGUGUAGGAUGAGCCCGCGGCCUAUCAGCUUGUUGGUGGGGUGAUGGCCUACCAAGGCGACGACGGGUAGCCGGCCUGAGAGGGUGAUCGGCCACAUUGGGACUGAGAUACGGCCCAGACUCCUACGGGAGGCAGCAGUGGGGAAUAUUGCACAAUGGGCGGAAGCCUGAUGCAGCGACGCCGCGUGAGGGAUGACGGCCUUCGGGUUGUAAACCUCUUUCAGCAGGGACGAAGCGUAAGUGACGGUACCUGCAGAAGAAGCACCGGCUAACUACGUG